This 384-nucleotide ribosomal RNA is filed under the name uncultured eukaryote. Its description in RNAcentral is "SSU rRNA". It matches the Rfam family "Eukaryotic small subunit ribosomal RNA", at positions 587 to 972 of the family's 1831-position model. The record is from RNAcentral.
AGCUCCAAUAGCGUAUAUUCAAGUUGUUGCGUUUAAAUCGCUCGUAGUUGAAUUUUGGAUCUGGCAGAGUGGUUUGGCCGCAAGGUCAACACUGCUUUUAGUCGGAUCUUACCUUCUAGGGAACCAGUGUGCCCUUAACUGUGGUGUGCUGGGGAUCUAGGACUGUUACUUUGAAAAAAUUAGAGUGUUCAAAACAGGCAUUUUGCUUGAAUACAUUAGCAUGGAAUAACGGAAUAGGACUUUGUUUCUAUUUUGUUGGUUUUUAGGAACGAAGUAAUGAUUAAUAGGGAUAGUUGGGGGCAUUAGUAUUCCAUUGUCAGAGGUGAAAUUCUUGGAUUUAUGAAAGACUAACUUCUGCGAAAGCAUUUGCCAAGGAUGUUUUCA